GAUGAACGCUGGCGGCGUGCCUAAUACAUGCAAGUCGAGCGAACAGACGAGGAGCUUGCUCCUCUGACGUUAGCGGCGGACGGGUGAGUAACACGUGGAUAACCUACCUAUAAGACUGGGAUAACUUCGGGAAACCGGAGCUAAUACCGGAUAAUAUAUUGAACCGCAUGGUUCAAUAGUGAAAGACGGUUUUGCUGUCACUUAUAGAUGGAUCCGCGCCGCAUUAGCUAGUUGGUAAGGUAACGGCUUACCAAGGCAACGAUGCGUAGCCGACCUGAGAGGGUGAUCGGCCACACUGGAACUGAGACACGGUCCAGACUCCUAAGGGAGGCAGCAGUAGGGAAUGUUCCGCAAAGGGCGAAAGCCUGACGGAGCAACGCCGCGUGAGUGAUGAAGGUCUUAGGAUCGUAAAACACUGUUAUUAGGGAAGAACAAAUGUGUAAGUAACUAUGCACGUCUUGACGGUACCUAAUCAGAAAGCUACGGCUAACUACGUG
RNAcentral lists this ribosomal RNA (497 nucleotides) under uncultured bacterium. Its description in RNAcentral is "partial 16S ribosomal RNA". It matches the Rfam family "Bacterial small subunit ribosomal RNA", at positions 28 to 507 of the family's 1533-position model. The record is from RNAcentral.